AAGGUCGCCGCAACGGUAAUUCAAUUUAGUACGAGAGGAACCGUUGAUUCAGAUAAUUGGUUUUUGCGGCUGUCUGACCAGGCAGUGCCGCGAAGCUACCAUCUGCCGGAUUAUGGCUGAACGCCUCUAAGUCAGAAUCCGUACCGGAACGCGGCGAUGUUGCCCCGCACGUUGUAGUUGGAUACGAAUAGGCCUACGGGCCCUGAACCUCAGCAGGUCGGUGACGGCUCCCGGGAAGAGACUCUCGGGCGCCAGCUGACGGAUUGCAAUGUCACCACGCGCGGGGAUAGAUCCUCUGCAGACGACUGAAAUGACCAAGCGGGUCGUGUAAGCGGUCAAGUAGCCUAGUUGUUACGAGUCGCUGAGCGUCAGCCCGAUCCUUGGCUCGAUUU
Coccidioides immitis RS is the source of this 392-nucleotide ribosomal RNA. It matches the Rfam family "Eukaryotic large subunit ribosomal RNA", at positions 3004 to 3399 of the family's 3401-position model. NCBI's taxonomy places the organism in Eukaryota, Fungi, Ascomycota, Eurotiomycetes, Onygenales, Onygenaceae. The record is from Rfam.